RNAcentral lists this ribosomal RNA (497 nucleotides) under uncultured bacterium. Its description in RNAcentral is "partial 16S ribosomal RNA". It matches the Rfam family "Bacterial small subunit ribosomal RNA", at positions 28 to 507 of the family's 1533-position model. The record is from RNAcentral.
GAUGAACGCUGGCGGCGUGCCUAAUACAUGCAAGUCGAGCGAACAGACGAGGAGCUUGCUCCUCUGACGUUAGCGGCGGACGGGUGAGUAACACGUGGAUAACCUACCUAUAAGACUGGGAUAACUUCGGGAAACCGGAGCUAAUACCGGAUAAUAUAUUGAACCGCAUGGUUCAAUAGUGAAAGACGGUUUUGCUGUCACUUAUAGAUGGAUCCGCGCCGCAUUAGCUAGUUGGUAAGGUAACGGCUUACCAAGGCGACGAUGCGUAGCCGACCUGAGCGGGUGAUCGGCCACACUGGAACUGAGACACGGUCCCGACUCCUGCGGGAGGCCGCAGUAGGGAAUCUUCCGCAAUGGGCGAAAGCCUGACGGAGCAACGCCGCGUGAGUGAUGAAGGUCUUCGGAUCGUAAAGCUCUGUUAUUAGUGAAGAACAAAUGUGUAAGUAACUAUGCACGUCUUGACGGUACCUAAUCAGAAAGCCACGGCUAACUACGUG